Molecule: ribosomal RNA, 253 nt
Filed under: uncultured bacterium
Lineage: Bacteria
Description: partial 16S ribosomal RNA
Rfam family: Bacterial small subunit ribosomal RNA
Source: RNAcentral
GACGAACCGUGCGAACGUUGUUCGGAAUCACUGGGCUUAAAGGGCGCGUAGGCGGGCUCACAAGUCAGGGGUGAAAUCCCACGGCUCAACCGUGGAAGUGCCUUUGAUACUGUGGGUCUUGAGGGAGGUAGGGGCGUGCGGAACUUCCGGUGGAGCGGUGAAAUGCGUAGAUAUCGGGAGGAACACCGGUGGCGAAGGCGGCGACCUGGGUAGAUACUGACGCUGAGGUGCGAAAGCGUGGGGAGCAAACAGG